Molecule: small RNA, 317 nt
Filed under: Vigna angularis var. angularis
Lineage: Eukaryota; Viridiplantae; Streptophyta; Magnoliopsida; Fabales; Fabaceae
Description: Non-protein coding transcript
Source: RNAcentral
GAAAGAUGAGGCCUCAAGAAAGAGCAGAAGCAGUUCUCAAGUUUCAGAAGAAUUCUAUGAACACCAUUCUCCAGAAACUCCCAAUUUCAAUAAUCAUUCUACUUUCAUUUCUCCUCAGUUGAAUCAAUUUUUUGACUCCUGCCUCCCUAAUACAACAAAAGGCUGUCAGAGGGUUCUACUUUACAGUUCCAUGAAACAUGGCAUAUCACUUAGGACACUUGUUCGCAACAGUGCUAAACUUUCUGGUCCUGCUUUGCUGAUUGUUGGAGAUACAAAAGGAGCAGUGUUUGGUGGGCUGGUAGAUUGUCCCUUGCAAC